RNAcentral lists this unclassified non-coding RNA (240 nucleotides) under soil metagenome. RNAcentral describes it as "partial contains 5.8S ribosomal RNA, internal transcribed spacer 2, and large subunit ribosomal RNA". The record is from RNAcentral.
AACAUCGCGCACCUGCGGGAACCUGCGGAAGGAUCAUUACAGAGUUGCAAAACUCCCUAAACCAUUGUGAACGUUACCUAAACCGUUGCCUCGGCGGGCGGCCCGGGUCCUUCCCGGCGCCCCUCGGCCCUCGCGGGCGCCCGCCGGAGGUAAACCAAACUAUUGCAUUGUAUGGCCUCUCUGAGUCUUCUGUACUGAAUAAGUCAAAACUUUCAACAACGGAUCUCAGAUCGGAAGAGC